Molecule: non-coding RNA, 30 nt
Filed under: Mus musculus (house mouse)
Lineage: Eukaryota; Metazoa; Chordata; Mammalia; Rodentia; Muridae
Source: RNAcentral
UGAAAACAUGUGUAUUUAUGAAGGUGGACU